This is a small nucleolar RNA of Carcharodon carcharias (great white shark), 149 nucleotides long. The record is from RefSeq and is a predicted model, not a curated record. Lineage: Eukaryota; Metazoa; Chordata; Chondrichthyes; Lamniformes; Lamnidae.
CUUCAGUGAUGAUGCUUGAUGACGAGUCUGAUGGGAUGUGAUCUGUAUUAGGAUUCCUGAUGCAGUAGGCAUGUUCUGUGCUGCUGGUUUUGGGGUCCUGAACGGCAUCUCCCUUCAAUUGAUGACUUAGAGGCAUUUGUCUGAGAAGG